This is a long non-coding RNA of Neopsephotus bourkii (Bourke's parrot), 236 nucleotides long. RefSeq lists it as uncharacterized. The transcript has 3 exons. Lineage: Eukaryota; Metazoa; Chordata; Aves; Psittaciformes; Psittacidae. The record is from RefSeq and is a predicted model, not a curated record.
CAGCUGGCAUGCCAUUCAGUCUGCAGCCUCAGCGCGCAGGGAGACCGUCAUCGAUGAGUGGGAUGAGGAGUUUGAUAGAGGCAAGGUGAAGAAGGUUAAAAAGCGGAGGAGGGGGCAGAGGCACCAGAACCCCUUCCAGUGGCUGCACCACCAGCGCAGUGAUGCAUGCGGCCAAGGCAGCGAGCCUGCGCCACCGGCUCUGAGCCCGAAUGCCAGCGAGCGGGAGGAGCAGCCCC